Molecule: unclassified non-coding RNA, 227 nt
Filed under: Hevea brasiliensis (rubber tree)
Lineage: Eukaryota; Viridiplantae; Streptophyta; Magnoliopsida; Malpighiales; Euphorbiaceae
Source: RNAcentral
AUACAGUACCUGCAUCCACAUAGCAAGAACUGCAAAUCAAAUCUCUGAUAUUUAUUUUCUUUUCAUCUCUGUUACUUGCACAAGUUAAAUGAUUCCUAAAACCAGAAGGGUAAUAAUUUUUAUUUUAUCUGGUCAAUAAAACAGCAAGAAAUAAGAACUAUGAAAGCAAGUGAUUUAAAUGACUCAUCACUGAAAUGGUAACAGACCUGAACUCCUUGUAGCGAUAG